GCAGUGACUGCCCCUUCCCGGCGAGCCGCCUUCUCCGAUGGAGCUUAGUGAUGCUGUCUGCUUUGGUUGUAUUGUAGGUGAGACAGACUGAGGAGCACAGAAUCGUAGACAGUCCCAGCUCAGACACCACAUUCUCUAGCCUGAGGUCAGAGCAGUGAAAGGUGACUAGAGCCAGCACAGAGAGUUAGCGGAGAUGGAUGAACCAAUUGUUGUGCCACAGGCUGGGAGGUCAGUGAAGUUACCGGUGGCCAGCGUGCUGAUCUGACAGAGGGCUCGGUCUCUGGCUGUCGCGUCGCACGGGGAUGGGAGAUGGGGGAGGGAUGUCUGAUUCCUUCACCUCCCCUUUCCUCCGCCUGUUCCCUGCUGCCAUUGGCCCAGCUCCAACAGCAAUACACCGUCCCCGGGAUAUCAGGGGUGGGGCUGUAAGGGCGGGGGGGGCAGACACCACUGGGGUUGAGGGGGGGGAUUGUGGAGAGUACGCACACUCUGUGACGUCUUCCAGAAGUUGCAGGAAUUGGAGGGUGAGGGGGUUGGGGGGUGGGGUUGACUGGCAAUGAAUUAUUCCAGGGGAAGUCACCAUCAGGUGGUAAAGCUGCUGGGAACAGAGGCCAGUGGGAGGGGGAGGGCAAUGAAGCACCUACAAGCAGAUUCCCCUCUGUCUGUGCAAGGGAGGGAUGGGGGGCUCGUGGCAUUACCCGAUAGUGGGACACUAUUCACAUACAGUGCACAUUUCCCACGCAAUACCUAACACUAACCAUUGCCGUGAAUACACAGGUUACGACGAGAGACUUCCAUUGAACCGGGGGAGUGGGAUGGCCCUGACGGGGCAGGUGCGAUUCAGGCUGGCACAGAGGUGGGGUUUCCCUCUUCACCCUGCCAGGGCACACAAUCCUCACCCUGCCAGUGAGCACCAGCAUGCCCUCACCAUGCUGCUAGCUGCUCUACCAAAGCAGGCAUCAUGAUGGGCCAAGCUGGCAUCAGGAUUGGUGGGGUGGGCAUGGGCAUGGUGGCCCAGAGGCUGGCUCACUGCUGUGUUUCAGGCGAGUGACAGCACCAUCUCUGUGUUUGAAAGGUGUUUUUAAUUUCCCACAAUCUGGGCUGAUUUGAUUUAAUGAAUCUACAUGUCACUCUGUUUAUACUCCGGGAAAUAAAGUUCAGAAAUUGG
This is a long non-coding RNA of Rhincodon typus (whale shark), 1165 nucleotides long. RefSeq lists it as uncharacterized. The transcript is spliced from 2 exons. Lineage: Eukaryota; Metazoa; Chordata; Chondrichthyes; Orectolobiformes; Rhincodontidae. The record is from RefSeq and is a predicted model, not a curated record.